UGUUUACAGGAUAUUAUGUUGGCUUCAAGUUUAUUAUUUUGUAAUAUUUUGUACAAACUUGUUAAGUUAUUUGUUCAACUACACUACAAACUUUGUACAGUAGAUAAAAAGACUUAUUGAUAGAAUAGACUAGUAUGUAAAAUGAUGCAUUUUAGGACUUAAGACUAAAACUCAAUUUUUUAUCUUUCAAUAUAAUAAGCAUCUUAUAUUUCAUAAAAAUUGGAGGAACAUAAAGGUGUACACAUUUUAUCCAAUAACAUCAAAAGUUUUGAUCAAUUUCAUCUUGUAUUUCUUGUUCGUAAUAAGACAUAACUAGAGAUAAGAUAAAAUAGAACUCAUAAGUAUCACAAAAUUAAAUUAUUUGCUUGGUCGAUACUAUUUUGAAGAGAACAAAAACCAGACAACAUAGUUCACUUUGUUCCACACAUGCAAAGACCUCUCUCCGUAUUAGCAUUAUGUGAGCUAAUAUAAGAUGACAAAACAAUUACAGAAUUUCCUAGAUAUUAGAGCAGCAUUAACGCAAGCUCCUAACCACGUCUCUUAGCAUUAAUGGGAUUUAAAAAAAAAGGAAAUUAGUAUAAUGGAGAGAAGACGUAUCUUAAUUAGGAGAAAUAAGAGACGUGUUUUCUUGGACACGUGUUGUGUUUUGCGGGCUUUGUGACUCUCUCCUUCGCUCCAUUUCGUUGCCGCGUCUCUCCAUCUCUCCUCGACGACUCCGGUGAUUUCUUCAUCUCGUCACGAUCGGAUGAAGGAUUAGGCGUCACUCUCGAUUCCUCACGUUUUCGUCUACGAAGACUCUCGGUUCCUCUCCUACCUCACCGUCGACCGUAGUCACUAACGGAAGGAGCUUCGAUCCUCAUCUCGAUCCAUAUCCACUCGAGCAGAUCUCUCUUCCCACCGCGAUGUCGAAAGCUCCGACGUGAACGUGAUCCGUCCCAAAGAGUAUUGGGAUUACGAGUCUCUCAAUGUUGAGUGGGGAGCUCUGAACAAUCUUGGGAGCAUCUACAUCGAUUGUUCGAUGCUAGAUCAAGCUGAAACUGCAUACAGGAACGCUCUAGAGAUCAAACACAUUCGUGCUCAUCAAGGCCUAGCAAGAGUUUACUUCCUGAAGAUUCAACGUAAAAGAAGCGUGCGAGGAGAUGACAAAGCUGAUUGAGAAGGCGUUUAGCAAAGCAGCAGCCUAUGAGAAACGGUCUGAGUACUGCGAACGUGAAAAAGCCAAAGAGGAUCUCGACAUGGCCACAACACUUGACCCUCUUCGAACCUAUCCUUACAGAUACCGAGCUGCUGGUAAACUAAACUCUUCUCUUUGCCUGUUGAUGUAAAGAUCGUAGUUGCUCUUUGUAUCGUUUACAAUCGGUAGAUAGAUCUAGGAAAGCAAUGAAGUUGUGUUUUCUUGGGAAUCGGAUAAGCUCGUACCAUUGUCGUCUCUGUCUUGUGCUGUUCCCUCAUAGUGGCUUCAAUACAUCAUUUUUAUGUUCCCUUAUAGUGGCUUCAAUAAAAAUGAUUUUUGAGUUUUAGCAAUGAUAGAAGCUGUGUUAAUGACUUGGGUAGCUUCUCCACUGUUUUCUUGAGGCAUCGAUUGAAACAGGUGAACUUUAUGUGAUAGUUAGCAUGCUCUGCAUUUUCAUUUCAUUACUCUAAAUCUUUGCAACGAUAUAAACAGAGACGCACGUUUUUCUCUGUGUGUCUUCAUGCUCACAUAUGUUUUAUUAGCUGAAUAUAUGUCGUAGUAGUGUCUUA
Molecule: long non-coding RNA, 1743 nt
Organism: Brassica rapa (field mustard)
Lineage: Eukaryota; Viridiplantae; Streptophyta; Magnoliopsida; Brassicales; Brassicaceae
Source: RefSeq, a predicted model, not a curated record